Molecule: non-coding RNA, 2685 nt
Organism: Paramuricea clavata
Lineage: Eukaryota; Metazoa; Cnidaria; Anthozoa; Malacalcyonacea; Plexauridae
Source: the annotation of a GenBank genome assembly
CUCAGUGAUUUCGUUCAAUAUAAUGAACGAAAUAUCUUGGUUGAUUUUUUCAACCAUUUAACCAUAAAAUUUUUAUUCUUUAUUCUUUGUCGUAUGAAGCCAAAUACCGUAUAACAUAGCCAUAAUACAGCAACCUUUUUAAAAACAAACCAGAAAAUAUUAAAUUAACUCAACUAUUUCGUUGUAAACGGCUAAAAUAAAAUUUUAAAGCUCUUUCUCGCUCAGUCCCAAGCAUCGUAGGUCGUUAAAAGCUGCCAACCUUUAAGGUCCAGACACACCGGGCGCGAUUCCACAACGCGACGCGAUUUUAUAGUUUUUGAAAGUUAAUACAACAGCCAAUGAGAGCAAAUCUUAAAAGACAUGUAGACCAAAUAACGAAAAUGUUAUAACGCUUCUAAAUACUUGGAAAAUUUAAACUAGAAUUAAAGUUAUCGGUCAGUGAAAAUCGAAAAAUCGCGUCGCAUUGUCAAAUCGCAUCCGGUGUGUCUGGACCUUUAGAUGUUCAUAUCUUGAGUUUAGUGCAUGCUAUGAACACAAUAAUACCACCAUUUGAUUCAGUGAAAAAAUCAAAUAGUUCCUUACAAUAGCUUUAGUCAUUAUCAACGUUGUAGCGAUUUAUUGCUUCUGAAAGGCAAGCGAGAUUGUAUAUUAUCGAAUCAAAGUACUCAAUAAAAAUAUAGACUGGCCGUAUCUUUCGCUGAACAUAUAACUUCGGCCACGCUACAGGGGUAAUGUGACUCGAAUCGGUUUCCGACGAACGGUUUCCGACGUUUCCCGAGUGCUAGGACAGCAUUGUUUCGACAAUCAGUUUGUAUUUCCGGUUGAAGCUCUCACUAAAAAUUUAGAUAUUCUGAAAUACCGAAAUAAAAGAUGCAAAUCUGUAGAUACAAGCUUGAAAAUAAACUCUGAAUAGUGUUUUGGAUUCUGAUUCGAACAAGACUAUUACGAAAAAGAUAUGUUGAAAGGGACUAAAUUUCUGUUCGGCGAGAGGUUAUGCACUUAUAGGCCUCAGUUGGUAAUACAUUGACAUUGUUUACGUUGUUCGGGAAAAUUGUGUGAAAUAUGGUAUCGCUUAACUUCUAAAGAUCGUAAAUCGCUAUAAUGUUCAUGUUGACAUUUUACUAAAACCAUCCAUAGGAAUUGUUUCACUGAAUUGAACGGUGGUAUUUUCAUCAACAUAGCAUGUACUGAACCAAAGAUAUAUGAACCUCCAAAGUAAACCGACGAUAUGAUUAGAUAUGUCCAUAUCGAUCUGCUUUAAUUAUGCGCAAGCGAAAGAGUAUGCCAGACAGCCUUUUAAUAACUACAAAAUUUCAUAAACCAACGGCUCUUUCGUAUGCCUUUAAAUUAACUACAAAAUUCCAUAAACCAACGGCUCUUUCGUAUGCCUUUAACUACAAAAUUUCAUAAACCAACGGCUCUUUCGUAUGCGUUUAACUACAAAAUUCCAUAAACCAACGGCUCUUUCGUAUGCCUUUAACUACAAAAUUCCAUAAACCAACGACUCUUUCGUAUGCCUUUAACUACAAAAUUCCAUAAACCAACGGCUCUUUCGUAUGCGUUUAACUACAAAAUUUCAUAAACCAACGGCUCUUUCGUAUGCCUUUAACUACAAAAUUCCAUAAACCAACGGCUCUUUCGUAUGCCUUUAACUACAAAAUUUCAUAAACCAACGGCUCUUUCGUAUGCGUUUAAUGAACUACAAUAUUUCGCACAUGCGCAGACUACAAACUGUCACACUAAACUUUUUUAUGGUAUUGUAACAUAGUGGUUAACUGUUCAUGCGCAGGCUAACCACAAAAAAACUGAAGCAAGCAUCAUAUGAACUGAAAUAGGAAAUAGGUAACACGGAACUGAAAUAGGAAAUAGGCAAUUCGAAUUAGGAAAUAGGUAAUUCGGAUUACUGCACGUGAUCACCGAUCUAUCCGCAAUUAUAAUUCUGGUAUACUCAGUAAUCGUCGUAACCUCCGGAAAAUUAAAUUAAGCAGCAAUACCUCGUAUACCUUCUUACCCUCCUUGUUCCUAUCCAACUCGAGGUCAUUAGUCAAUAAAAUCGAUGAGCUGUCUGGAACUGUUUCUUCACUUUCUUUGGAUAUUGUGGUCAUUACGGAAACUUGGCUUUCUCCUAAUGUCAGCAAUUCAGCGAUAAAUCUAAAUGGCUUCUCCAUAUUCAAGCGUGACCGACGAGAUGGUAGAAGAGGUGGAGGUGUUUGUGUUUAUGUAAACGAUCGUAUGCCAGUAGUUCAUCUUAAGGAACUUUCACAUCCCGAAGUUCAAUCGUUAUGGCUCCUAAUAAAACCAAGUCGACUACCACGUGGAAUUAAUUCUAUAAUUUUAGUCGCUAUUUGCCAUCCACCGAAAAGCGACGAUAGGGCCCUGUUAACACACCUUAUCGAGUCCCUCGACAGUGCAUUAACAUCCUAUCCUGCGUCAGCUAUCAUCAUUGCAGGCGAUUUUAACCAAUUUAGGCACAGUCAACUAUGUAACUCGUUUUCCCUUAAACAGGUUGUUAAGCAUGCAACAAGAGGAUCCAACAUCUUAGACAAAAUAUUUACAAAUGCGUCCAAAUUUUGCAACGUUCCAGAGAUUCUCACACCUGUCCGUUUCUCUGACCAUAACUCAGUGUUGAUAAAACCGCUGAAGCAAUGUAUGAACUCCCGGAGUACCCGAAUGGUCAGAGACACG